GAUCCUGCCUCAGGACGAACGCUGGCGGCGUGCUUAACACAUGCAAGUCGAACGGGGCGCUUAUGAUGGAGAUUUCGGUCAACGGAUUAAGUUGCCUAGUGGCGGACGGGUGAGUAACGCGUGAGUAACCUGCCUUUCAGAGGGGGACAACAGUUGGAAACGACUGCUAAUACCGCAUAAUAUAUAUGGACCGCAUGAUCUGUAUAUCAAAGAUUUAUCGCUGAAAGAUGGACUCGCG
RNAcentral lists this ribosomal RNA (238 nucleotides) under uncultured bacterium. RNAcentral's name for it is "partial 16S ribosomal RNA". It matches the Rfam family "Bacterial small subunit ribosomal RNA", at positions 15 to 235 of the family's 1533-position model. The record is from RNAcentral.